This is a ribosomal RNA of Clostridium acidisoli DSM 12555, 138 nucleotides long. It matches the Rfam family "Bacterial small subunit ribosomal RNA", at positions 1 to 145 of the family's 1533-position model. The record is from Rfam. Lineage: Bacteria; Bacillati; Bacillota; Clostridia; Eubacteriales; Clostridiaceae.
UUAAUUGAGAGUUUGAUCCUGGCUCAGGACGAACGCUGGCGGCGUGCUUAACACAUGCAAGUCGAGCGAGAAACCUUCGGGUUUCUAGCGGCGGACGGGUGAGUAACACGUGGGUAACCUGCCUCAAAGUGGGGGAUA